AUGUGUUUCAAAAGGCAAAAUGUGUUUUAGUUAUUCAUAGUUUCCUCUCAGUGACCGAUGCAUUCUUAGCUGGAGAAAGGCUAUUUAAGUUUCAGAUGUAUUGGUUCAAUGUUCAGAACUUCUUAAAAGGAGGCGAAGUCAAAGGUAGCAUUCAAUUCAGUUCUACACAGAGAGCUAGCCUGUUAGGAAGGUUUUGCUGAUCUUGGAAGAAGGUUGGUCUCAGAGGACAAUAUCAAAAGAGAAGACUCUAGCGCAGUAAGUUUUUUUUGCCGUUGUUGUUGUUGUUGAUUUUACAUCGUUAACAACGUUAGUAGACUGGAAGAAAUAUUUUCCGUUUUAAAGACGCGGCUUUUUGUUUCAUUGAACAAUAAUGAGGCGGCCGGGCUUAAAAUGUCCCACCUGACUAAAUGGGAGUGAAACCAUUUACUAAGAAACACAACAUCCAAAACCCUUGUUGAAAACUUGUGAAUAGCUUUUCACUCUUGGAUUUUCUGUUUUUGAUAAAGCUCUUGCAAUUGACCAAUGAAAGGCGAGGAUUUUAUACCACCAAAUUUUCCAGGCGAGUCCGGCCAAAUCCCUAUGGCAGAUUAGAGAUCUUCUUUCAGUGUUCACGUACAUGCAGUUGUGAAAACUCAUUACCGUAUUUCAAUGAAGGAUGUGCAAUUUGAUGCUUUGUUUCGCUUACAGUUUUUCCACAUUCUCAUGGUAUACACGUGUUGCGCGAAUUCGUUUCGGUGUCGGAAGUGAGGUAAAAGAUAGGCUGAAAACUUCUCAUCGUGGUAAUGCAGCCAAGAUUUUAGAAAACUGUUUGUUGGACUUUGAAAAAAAAAA
This is a long non-coding RNA of Orbicella faveolata, 831 nucleotides long. NCBI's taxonomy places the organism in Eukaryota, Metazoa, Cnidaria, Anthozoa, Scleractinia, Merulinidae. The record is from RefSeq and is a predicted model, not a curated record.